GAUGAAGAACGUAGCGAAAUGCGAUAAGUAAUGUGAAUUGCAGAAUUCAGUGAAUCAUCGAAUCUUUGAACGCACCUUGCGCUCCCUGGUAUUCCGGGGAGCACGCCUGUUCGAGUGUCGCGAAAUUCUUCAAGCCUUGGAUGGAUUUUUUUUUGUCUGUCCUUGGGCUUGGUUGUUGGGCUCUGCCGUGUCCUUCAUUGGGACGGCUGGCCUUAAAAGCAUUAGCCGAUCCUCGUGUGGUACUGGUUCUACUCAGCGUGAUAACAAUCUGAUCGUUGAGGACAUCUUCUGGAUGGCCAGUCAUCAUUUGGGUUGCUUCUAAACCGGUUUCGCAGAUUGCUCAAUCUGUGUGCCACUUUUCAGCUUUGACCUCGAAUCAGGUGGGACUACCCGCUGAACUUAAGCAUAUCAAUAAGCGGAGGA
Molecule: unclassified non-coding RNA, 423 nt
Filed under: soil metagenome
Description: partial contains 5.8S ribosomal RNA, internal transcribed spacer 2, and large subunit ribosomal RNA
Rfam family: 5.8S ribosomal RNA (bases 1-120)
Source: RNAcentral